AAGAUUCACUUUCUUGUACUUCAAGGUCUUUUGCAAAUUUUUUUUGAAACUUAUCUCUUUUUAAUUAAUAGUUGAUAUUCUUUAUUAUCAUCAUCUUCAAUGUCUUGAUUGUCUUCAUUGCUGAUUCUAGCAAUUAUAGACAUACUUUGAUCUAUCUUCUUUGGCACUUCAUCUUUAUUCAUACUUCUACUAUCUUUAUUGUCAUUAUCUUUUUUU
Molecule: long non-coding RNA, 216 nt
Filed under: Physcomitrium patens
Lineage: Eukaryota; Viridiplantae; Streptophyta; Bryopsida; Funariales; Funariaceae
Description: long non-coding RNA (PPAT_LNC004211)
Source: RNAcentral